Molecule: long non-coding RNA, 1420 nt
Filed under: Homo sapiens (human)
Lineage: Eukaryota; Metazoa; Chordata; Mammalia; Primates; Hominidae
Description: HSALNT0219769
Source: RNAcentral
CUUAGGUGCUCUUCAAUUCUCUCAAUUCUACAUGUUCAAAAUCUGUAAAAAUAAGACACGAAGACACGAAUUCAUUUUUUAAAACCUGAAACCUGCAAGUUUAAUUAAGGAAUUCGAGAUCCUGCAGUUUGGCUGACAAAUGAUAUAGUCAGCACCCAAUUUUCUCCUAUUAGGUGAUCUGCAGUACACAAUCAGAGCCGCUAGGCCAAUUUUCCUGAAUGGUCAUAAAGGUUUUUAACAAAGAAAGAGCUCCAAAAACUUGGGAAUGGGAUGAGGGCAAUAAAGACUUCAUUCAACCAGGGGCCCACUUUAAAGGGCAAUAUUGGAUUGAAAAAUUGAGCUACAUCAGUUAAAGCACCAAACGGCCUUGCUGCUUAAAGAUAGCUGAUGAGUCAUGUUCAACUCAACCUCCCCCUAACCUCCAGAGGCCUAGAAUGUGACUCUAAUGUAGUUUCUGCUUCCAAGUACAAAACCCAGACAAGACGCCCCGGCAAAGUCUCGGAAGAAACACCUUAGGGUCAUUUUCACAGCCUAUGAGCAUCAUUCCAAUGCCCAGCCCGAGAUAUCAUGCAGGGUACGGCGAAUGCUACAUUUGAGCACAGAACGUCUGACCUUCCAUUUAGGGUCAGAAAUUGGCUAAUCUGUUUCUCAGACUUGCUCCACAGAAACUAAACCGACAGAUCACGUUUAACUAAAACGAUGCCAGACGCCAUCCGUUCUCCAAAGAAAUCUUCGAGACACGCUGGCCACAUGCAUCAAGUACACAGCGCCACCUACAGCAUUAUUGGUGCAAUUCACCAUCGCCCUCUUCACCGGCCGCACUGGUAUCGCAGAUACAGCCUGAGAGAAUUGCUACAUCAGGCAGACAGUAUCUGACCUAGACUUUAAACGUCACAGAGAAGGAUCACUGGGUCUGGGGCAAUCAGAGAAGACGUCAUGAGGACUGGAAAACCUUAUUUCUUGAAGUUCAAGCUCAAGUAUCAACAAGGAAGAAAAUGCCAAAUAGAAGGAAUGAUAUGAGCGAAGGAGGUGUGAAGGACAAGCUCCAUGACAGCAAGAACUUCAUUUCAUUCACUGCUCUGUCCUCAGUGCCUAGUUCAGUGCCUGACACAUUGCAGCUUCUAGAUAAGUAUGGAAAGGAGGAAAGGAGGAAGGGAGGAAGGGAGGGAUGGAGGGAUGGAGGGAGGGAGGGAGGAAAGAAGGAAGGAAGGAAGGAAAAGGAAGGAAAGAAGGAAGGAGGGAAGGAAGGAAGGGAGGGAGGAAGGGAGGGAGGGAGGAAGGAAAAGGAAGGAAGGGAGGGAGGAAGGAAAAGGAAGGAAGGAAGGAAAAGGAAGGAAGGAGGGAAGGAAGGAAGGAAGGAAAAGGAAGGAAGGAGGGAAGGAAAAGGAAGGGAGGGAGGAAGAAAGGAAAAGGAAGGAAG